Molecule: ribosomal RNA, 419 nt
Filed under: Drosophila hexastigma
Lineage: Eukaryota; Metazoa; Arthropoda; Insecta; Diptera; Drosophilidae
Description: partial 12S ribosomal RNA
Source: RNAcentral
UCAUUCUAGAUACACUUUCCAGUACAUCUACUAUGUUACGACUUAUCUUACCUUAAUAAUAAGAGCGACGGGCGAUGUGUACAUAUUUUAGAGCUAAAAUCAAAUUAUUUAUCUAUAUAAAUUUACAACCAAAUCCACCUUCAAAAAUUUUUUCAUAAUUUUAUCCGUUUAAAUAUAUUUAUUGUAACCCAUUAUUACUUAAACAUUAGCUACACCUUGAUCUGAUAUAAAUUUUAAUUAAAAUUAUUGAAUAUUAAUCUUCUUAUAAAAUAUUCUGAUAACGACGGUAUAUAAACUGAUUACAAACUUAAGUAAGGUCCAUCGUGGAUUAUCGAUUACAAAACAGGUUCCUCUGGAUAGACUAAAAUACCGCCAAAUUUUUUAAGUUUCAAGAACAUAACUAUUACUACUUUAGUAUU